CAACCUCUGACGAAAAUCGUGAAUGUUG
Maribacter sp. HTCC2170 is the source of this 28-nucleotide regulatory RNA element. It matches the Rfam family "L19-Flavobacteria ribosomal protein leader". Lineage: Bacteria; Pseudomonadati; Bacteroidota; Flavobacteriia; Flavobacteriales; Flavobacteriaceae. The record is from Rfam.